Apis cerana (Asiatic honeybee) is the source of this 1236-nucleotide long non-coding RNA. RefSeq lists it as uncharacterized. Lineage: Eukaryota; Metazoa; Arthropoda; Insecta; Hymenoptera; Apidae. The record is from RefSeq and is a predicted model, not a curated record.
AUUUCGUCGAAUCUACGAAUUUUCGUUUCGAAAAUAUACACAAAUAUAUAUAAUAAAAAAUAUGUAUAUCAUAUAUCACGCGUUUCGUAACACGCUGUCGUAUAACAGCAUCGCGCCAAGGUAAAGUCAAUAAAAAUCUUUAUCAUAGCGUUUGUUCAAUGUUUUCCGAAUCUACGCCGUCUUCGACCGUUUCCAUUCGUCGCUCGAACUUAUCAUAGAACUUGGCCCAGUUUUUCCUCAUAGCGCAACGUGGAUCGUUGGACGCUCUCUCUGUGCUAAAAGAGCGCGAAAAUUUAGGGGGGAAACGCACGCGUGAGCCGAGCGCACGCGUAAAUAGAGAGGCGCAAGGCGUAAUCGGUGCUCGUCUUCGAUUGGUUUGCCCUGGCUCUGGCUCUGGCUGGCCAGCCGGCCUACAAGCACGUGCCCCGAUUCGCUUCCAAGGUGAAUGACGACCGACCAGUUAUCGGACUUCGAGCCCAAGCAUUUUUUCGCUUCGUUGCGUUCGCUCUAUCAGCUAAUGCCACAGUAUUGGCAAUGCGGGUAUACGAGCCACUUCGAUCGAACUAUCUACGCACUACGUGGUAUUUGUUUUCAUUUCUCUACGCCGAGUCUGUCACGCGUAAAGUCGACGCGUACACCCAUUUCGUAUCUCGAAAGGAAGAAUCGCUUUUCGUGCGGCCAACACGCAAAAAACUUAUGGAUUAAUUUAAUACAUAGCAUAAGCUUUUUUCGCGUAUGACGUACGGAGGAAGGAAAACCGCAGAGAAAUAAACAAAACGUAUCUAUUUCCGGUAAAAGAAUCGUAAUUUCGAUCUUGACUGAUGAUUUUUUAAUUUAAAUUGAUGAGCAUCGAUGGAAUAAGAGGAAAUUUCGAAAAUAUAUGAUGAAAAGAACGAGAUAUCGAGAAACGAAUAAAUUGUAGGAAUAUUUUAUCAGGGAUGAUAUUAUAAAAGAAAUAAAUUCUGCUAAAGAAGUUGCGCUUAAGAGAUAUAAGAGGUAUGAGGCAAUCGUAACGAAUGUAUGCAGGUUAAUGAUAUACAAGGUGUUUUAUGCAUAGAUAUAUUUAAAACGAAUGAGAAAAAUGUCAUUAGAUGAAACGAAAUGAUACGAAAUGAUACGUUCAAUCUAUCUAAAAAUGAAAUAUCAUUUUUCCUUCUUAAAUAAAAUCUAUUUUGAUUAAAUAAAUUAUUCAAACUUUCUAUAUCUAUCAUAAAUAAAUAAAAUUACAAAUUGAAA